GCCAGGUGGGCUUCCCUGUGGUUCCAGUCACUGGGGAGGCUGAGGAAGGAGGAUUGCUUGAACUCAGGAGUUCAGGGCCAGCCUGGAAAAUAUAGCAAGACCCUGUCUCAC
This 111-nucleotide small RNA is filed under the name Marmota monax (woodchuck). Lineage: Eukaryota; Metazoa; Chordata; Mammalia; Rodentia; Sciuridae. The record is from RNAcentral.